GUCAGCUUCAGUCUUUACUUUUCCUUCUUGACAAGGUCCACAUGGUAUAGGUUUACUGGAUGACAUGACCCUAAACAUAUACAACAUAUAACUUAUUUAGCCUUCUGGUCAGGGUCCAUAUGGUACAGGUUUACUGGAUGCCAUGGCCCUAAACAUAUACAAGAUAUAAGUUAUUUUGCCUUAUGGGCAGGUCCACAUGGUACAGGUUUACUGGAUGCCAUGACCCUAAACAUAUACAAGAUAUACGUUAUUUAGCCUUAUGGGUAGGUCCACAUGUUAUAGGUUUACUGGAUGCCA
Molecule: long non-coding RNA, 297 nt
Organism: Mytilus californianus (California mussel)
Lineage: Eukaryota; Metazoa; Mollusca; Bivalvia; Mytilida; Mytilidae
Exons: 3
Source: RefSeq, a predicted model, not a curated record